Long non-coding RNA from Oncorhynchus tshawytscha (Chinook salmon), 774 nucleotides. RefSeq lists it as uncharacterized. NCBI's taxonomy places the organism in Eukaryota, Metazoa, Chordata, Actinopteri, Salmoniformes, Salmonidae. The transcript has 2 exons. The record is from RefSeq and is a predicted model, not a curated record.
UGCUGUUGCUGAGAGGAAAUACUCUUGAGAUUUUGUAAUACUUUAACCUCAGGAUACAAAGAACGAUUACAACAGCAUUCACUUUCACUGCUAACUCAAAUUGUUCAAUCCAAACAGUCCAUUUGCUUUCCUUCCCCUCGAAAGAUUCUGGCAUGAGCACCGGCUGGUCAAUCCGUCUGUCCGUGGCACCCGGCUGAUCCACCACCAGCUGUCGUUCGGUUGGUGGUUAUUUGAUUGCUGUUCCCAGGUUGUUUCGACUUCUCCCUCCAUUUUCCCACCAAAGUGGCUUUGCAGCGCCAUUUUGAGCCAUCGAAACAUGCUGACUGGAUUUGUGCAAUUUUAUUUAUUUUUUUCAGGACAGAGAACGUAAAGUGGGAAACGCAACAAUGCUAUUCGCCUUUGUUAUUGAUGACGAAGUGGAUGCUUUCGAAAUUUCCCUUCUCCUGCACGAAGCUGAACAUGAUCAACACGGUCCAAGAAAUGAAUAUCCUGUUGAUGAGAACAUUUACAUACCAGCCCAAGCUCUUGUCUAAUGAUGAAUAAAAAAAAUAAAAGUAAAUUGUAUUUUCUCACAAUCCAGCCAGGUAGUGAGUGCUAGGCUACAUAGGCUACUCGAAUGAGAACAUAUACUGUUAAGUGUUUUUUUUUUUGCAGGAUAUAGGAUAUGCUUUAUUGUUUGUAAUUAUUUCAUACCCUUUUGUACCUUACUCAUGAUUAUUUAAGAUUGUGUAACAUAGAAUUGUACCAGAUGUGAUUAAAUGGAGUCCACAAAGA